GCUAUUUGGCCUAAAGAUGUUACAUUGCUCAAUAUUGGGCAGUUGGCUUGUCCAUGUGUUUCGUAUAUACUAAAUGUGAAAAUCACCAGACCUCUUUAUGAUCACGAGGCAUUGGGAUCAUUUCCAUAUACGCCCAAGUAAAUUUGUGUAGUGAGAGCUCCACUUAGCCCACCAAAACCUUUCAAGACACCUAACAAGAGUCCUCUAUUCUCUGGGAAAUUUUUGACACAAGUGACAAGAACUCCAGUAUUUGCAAAGUUGAGAGAAUUUGCUUCAAUGAACAUAUACAUGCACAUCUGCCAAACCUUUGGCUUGGCGAUUUUGCUAGUGACAACUAGCCAGAUCAUGAAGUAACCUACAAAAUUCAUGGAUGAGCCUGUAAAGAGAAUAAACCAUUGUUGGAGUUACCUCAGCAAUUAGGCCUGAAACUAUCCCAAUACCCGUGGCAAGUUCUUUGAAGAAGCUUAACAGAUUGAGCGUGCGCUGAUCAUAAGCUAGAGAAGUUUUUAUCUCUAUGGAGUAUAUUCCAAAAAGAUAUAUUCCUCCUACCGCUGCCGUGAUAAGAGAAGAGGCGAAAAGAGGAAACCAUCGCCCACGAAUUACAUGUAAAGAAAAUUGAAGCCCGUCAGCAACACCUCCAACAGCAGCAGCCUUGUUUUCUGUCAUGAUAGUUCAAGUAGUGAAUGUAUAUCCCUCUAUUGUAGAUUGAGAUUUAAAUUUGGAAAACAAACAAGAAAUCCUUCUUAAAAUUAAGCAACAAGAUAAUUAGCAUUUAAUAUUACAAUAAGAUAAUUAGCUUUUUUACAUGAAGAACACUCCCACUUACAC
Molecule: long non-coding RNA, 828 nt
Filed under: Panax ginseng (ginseng)
Lineage: Eukaryota; Viridiplantae; Streptophyta; Magnoliopsida; Apiales; Araliaceae
Description: long non-coding RNA (PGIN_LNC007393)
Source: RNAcentral